CCUCGUAAGAACUUCCAUUUUAUGUUCUUAUCUUCUCAUCAGUUUGAGUUAUGUCUUUAACAUUGGAGAGAAAAACAACUUGCAAGAUUUUCUUUCAGUAUGAACCAUUCUGAGGUCCUUCAAUUCUUUAGCUGAUUACCAACUCCUACCACUGUUAACCCUCAUCCAGGAACAAGCUUAUGUCUUUAACAUUCUGAGUGGGCUUCAGCAUCCUUGCAUAUGUUCAAUUCUUAAAAACCUGUUGAAAUAAAAGAUCAGGAGACAUAGGAGGGAUGCCAGAAGACAGCGUGGCCUCACGUGUACCAGCUCUCUGCUCUCCUUUGCCUUGGGACGUUCCAUCCCUGGAAGUUUCCCUGCCCACAUCUUUGUAGAGAGUCCAUUCUCCAAGCUUCAGUGUGUCAUCUGUUAGGACUAUGACCCACCUGGUACAUUACCUCAGGGCAUUCAUUUCAGGCUCCUUCUAAGUGGUCAAGGUAAACCUCAGGUUCUCCUCCUGCCUUUUGCUAAGUAUAUGUCUUGAUGACAAGCCUUCUGCUAAUGAGCUGUGUUUCUGGACCGAUCAUGGUAGAAGUCAAUUGAAGUGUCCCUCACUUGGGGUUUCUUAAGGCUGCACUGAUGAGGAAACUGAAACAGAAAAUCCAGAGUAAAUUCCACCAGGCCACACAGCAAGGUCUGAUAGAGCCAGGAGAGACUUUAUGAAAUCCAGACUCUCACACUAAUGCUCUAUCAGCUAGACCUCCAUGUGAGUCUCCCCAAUGUAGGUAGGAAGCACUUUCCC
RNAcentral lists this long non-coding RNA (778 nucleotides) under Pongo abelii (Sumatran orangutan). Its description in RNAcentral is "lincRNA". Lineage: Eukaryota; Metazoa; Chordata; Mammalia; Primates; Hominidae. The record is from RNAcentral.